This is a long non-coding RNA of Physeter macrocephalus (sperm whale), 282 nucleotides long. RefSeq lists it as uncharacterized. NCBI's taxonomy places the organism in Eukaryota, Metazoa, Chordata, Mammalia, Artiodactyla, Physeteridae. The transcript has 3 exons. The record is from RefSeq and is a predicted model, not a curated record.
GAGAUCCAGUGGAGCGGGGACGAGUGUUCUACCUGCUAGUCGUUUGUUCGUACACGUCUCAGGGGGUGUCCGAGGUUGGCCUCUCUUCCUGAUUCUCGUUUCACCUCAGCGUUUCCGCUCAGCUCACCAAGGACACGUGUUUGUACCUGCCACGUGAUUCCUGUCACUCCACUUUCGCUUGGCAGAUGUAGUCGUGGCCGAGUGGUUAAGGCGGUGGACUAGAAAUCCGUUGGGGUCUCCCCGCGCAGGUUCGAAUCCUGCCGACUACGUAAGAAUCGUCAC